AAUCAAAAACUUAAAGAACAGUGCGGAAAAAUCCGAAUCAAUUUGCAAUCAAAACACUGGAACCGCAUUUUCAACAGGCUGGAUGACAAUUUAUAGGCGAAUCGACGGUUCCGAAAACUUCAAUCGUAGCUGGAGUGACUAUAAAAACGGAUUUGGAAACCCUUAUAAAGAAUUCUUUGUUGGACUCGAAAAACUGUAUCUUGCAACCUAUGAACGACCCCACGAAUUUUACAUCAAAUUAGAAAGACUAUAUUCCCCUUGUUACUUGUACUAUAGUAACUUUACUAUUGGCAGCGAGAAGGAAUCGUAUGCGAUAAAGUCUUUGGGAAAAUAUUCUGGUACAUUACCACGGAACUUAUAUUCUGCCUUUGAGAACAAGGAAUUCACCACAUUUGAUCGAGGCAAUUCUCAAUACUCUUGCAUUACCGAUUUUGAUUACAGGAUGGGACGAUGUGGUUCAAGUUGGCUAAAUACAGAAUAUACCUCUUUAGAUAAUAUAUUAAGAAGCAGACUUGGUUCGGGCAGGUUAUUAAUUAAAAUUGAAAUGAUGAUAAGGCCAAAGAUCCAAUUAACCAGCGGUUGUAUAAAUGAAAUCAACAAAAACAAUUCCCUUGCUGACAUCACAAAUAAGUAAAAUACCCUCUGGAAGAGUAUAAUAUCUUUUGAAAUCUACUCAUCUCUAUGUAUUUGUUAGGUUUGUCAAAUGAGAAUAAAGCGAUUUCGAAUAAUGUUUAUAGUGAAGUAAUUAUCAGAUAAGAUAUGAAUCCCGUUUGUAUAGCUGAUGUAAACAGGCCGGAGUGCCAGGAAUGGAUGGUCGAGGUGUAUGCGAAGUGCCGGGAUCUCUUUGGGACUCAAGACUUUUUAUUGUCGAUAGCCACGCUCCCGCUGUAUUCAAGGAGGAUGUUGAGGCGAUGACCGCCGUGGACUGCCGUCGCUUAAGGCGGGAAUUGGCCGAGAAAGACGAGGGGGAGGGCUUAAAAAACUAUGAAUAUAACAAGGCAUCCACAAUUAAAAAAAUUACUAAAACUUAAAAAAUAAAUAAAAAUUGAAUUUAGCCAAGUCACUACAAACAA
This is a long non-coding RNA of Drosophila ficusphila, 1073 nucleotides long. RefSeq lists it as uncharacterized. Lineage: Eukaryota; Metazoa; Arthropoda; Insecta; Diptera; Drosophilidae. The record is from RefSeq and is a predicted model, not a curated record. The transcript is spliced from 2 exons.